CUAUGAAACAGUUCUCCAUAUUUCACUUUUUUAUCACAGAAAUGUAUAAUCACUCCUGAGUUCCAAACUGCUAACUAUAUACUACUCUUUCAUUCUCAUAUUAUAAUAGCAACACACCCAUUCCACUGUUUUUAAGAAUUACCAUUUACCAAGAUUGGAGGCACUAUAGGUAAAAAUAGAAAUCUAGAAGGAGGAAAUCUACUUCAAGAUAUAAUAUAGGUGUAACAGCUAUAGAAAAUAUUUUCAUGUGGCAUUCUACUGUAGAUUAUCCAACUUUUUUUAAACAAUUGUCAUAAUUUUCAGGUAAAUGGCUAGAGGUUAAAAAUCUGAGGAUAUAUAUUAAUUAGUUGAACUCAUAUGACUUAUAGCUAUUUAAGGUGUGCAUUAUCCCUCUGCCUUCUCAGAGGCUAUUAUUGCUUUAAGGGCUGAAGCCUACACAAGGCAGCCAAGAAUGGGACAGAGACAGCAGGGGCCCACUCUAAAGCUGCUGAGUCCAUCUGUCAUAGCAAGGAUGUUAGCAUUUACUUUAAAAUCGAAUUUCCAUUCCAAAAUGUAAUUUCACCAACCACUAACUCUUGCAACAUUAUAUAUUUUUACCCAGAUGCUAUUUCUGGAGCUGUUAGUCAUGACUAGCUCUGCAUUAAAAUUUGACUGAAGCUGCAUGUAUGUAUUAAAUCAUUCUUUUCAAUUAGGGCAUGAACAAGAUGAACUUUUCCUCACAAAUUGAUGUGGAUGAUCUGUCGCUGCAGGCUUCAUCUUCAACAUUGUCUUGUCCCUUCUUAGAAUGGAUUAUUCAUUUGUAUACUGCUAAUUUGGGAUAGAGGAGCAUUUUCCCCGUAAAGCAUUUCAUAAAGUAUCAAUGAUUUUACCAUUUCUUCCACCCAACUACACCAUAAUUUGAUAUUUGUUCUUGGUCAAUUUUAGCAGAAUUCAUGUUGCUCUGACAAGGGCUUUUGUCAAACUGAUGUCUUACCCAUCUUAGUGACUCAGACUAGAUCUUGUUUAUACAUGUUUUAACAAGGUGUAUGACUUUAUUUUGGUGCAAAAUCUUUUUGAAAUCCAUGAAUAGUUUUUGUAUAAUAUGCAUUUUUAUGAUAUCUUUGAAAACCCUCGUGUGUGUGUGUUUGUGUCUAUGGCAUGCCCUAUAUAUGUGGAAGGAUAAAUCUGUAAAUGCAUGCACUAAUAUGGACUACAGAUGUGAACUAUAUCUCCAUGUACAUAUGUAUCUCUAUAUACAUGUGCAUUUAUGGAUGAAAUAUUUAUUGCCUACUGUGUGUUAAGUGACUGUGCUCUUAGCUAUGCAAAUGAUUUCAACUGAUGUUUUUUCCCUAUCCCAUCUAUUUACUAUCCUCUAACUUGUUCCAAAAAAUAGGAUACAGGAUAAAUAACUGAAAUUGUUUUUUGAAUGAGAUUGCAGUCGAUAUAUGAUUUAGAGGACCAAGCAGGCAAAGAAUUUGUAUAUUCAAUCAAUGCCUCUUAGUUGGUGAUAGUUGUUUUUUUUUUUUUUAUUUUUUUUUAUUUUUUUUUUUUU
Molecule: long non-coding RNA, 1531 nt
Filed under: Homo sapiens (human)
Lineage: Eukaryota; Metazoa; Chordata; Mammalia; Primates; Hominidae
Description: HSALNT0044489
Source: RNAcentral